AUCUUGCGCAAUGGGCGAAAGCCUGACGCAGCCAUGUCGCGUGAAUGAUGAAGGUCUUAGGAUUGUAAAAUUCUUUCACCGGGGAAGAUAAUGACGGUACCCGGAGAAGAAGCACCGGCUAACUCCGUGCCAGCAGCCGCGGUAAUACGGAGGGUGCGAGCGUUGUUCGGAAUUAUUGGGCGUAAAGCGCACGUAGGCGGCCCGUUAAGUCUCUUGGUGAAAGGCCGGGGCUCAACCCCGAGCAUGCCGGGGAUACUGGGGGGCUGGAGACAGGUAGAGGCCAGCGGAAUUCCGGGUGUAGCGGUGGAAUGCGUAGAGAUCCGGAAGAACACCGGAGGCGAAGGCGGCUGGCUGGACCUGAUCUGACGCUGAGGUGCGAAAGCGUGGGGAGCGAACAGG
Molecule: ribosomal RNA, 399 nt
Filed under: uncultured bacterium
Lineage: Bacteria
Description: bacterial SSU rRNA
Rfam family: Bacterial small subunit ribosomal RNA
Source: RNAcentral